AGAGCGAACGCUGGCGGCAGGCCUAACACAUGCAAGUCGAGCGCCCGUAGCAAUACGGGAGCGGCAGACGGGAUAGUAACACGUGGGGACGCGCCCUUCGGUUCGGAAUAACUCAGGGAAACUUGAGCUAAUACCGGAUACGCCCUUACGGGGAAAGAUUUAUUGCCGAAGGAACGGCCCGCGUCCGAUUAGCUAGUUGGUGAGGUAAUGGCUCACCAAGGCGACGAUCGGUAGCUGGUCUGAGAGGAUGACCAGCAUCACUGGGACUGAGACACGGCCCAGACUCCUACGGGAGGCAGCAGUGGGGAAUAUUGGACAAUGGGCGCAAGCCUGAUCCAGCCAUGCCGCGUGGAUGAUGAAGGCCUUAGGGUUGUAAAGUCCUUUUAACGGGGAAGAUAAUGACGGUACCCGUAGAAUAAGCCCGGCUAACUUCGUGCCAGCAGCCGC
This 447-nucleotide ribosomal RNA is filed under the name uncultured bacterium. RNAcentral's name for it is "SSU rRNA". It matches the Rfam family "Bacterial small subunit ribosomal RNA", at positions 26 to 518 of the family's 1533-position model. The record is from RNAcentral.